This 77-nucleotide transfer RNA is filed under the name Aliidiomarina minuta. RNAcentral's name for it is "tRNA-Val". It matches the Rfam family "tRNA". From Rfam's summary of the family: Transfer RNA (tRNA) molecules are approximately 80 nucleotides in length. Their secondary structure includes four short double-helical elements and three loops (D, anti-codon, and T loops). Further hydrogen bonds mediate the characteristic L-shaped molecular structure. tRNAs have two regions of fundamental functional importance: the anti-codon, which is responsible for specific mRNA codon recognition, and the 3' end, to which the tRNAs corresponding amino acid is attached (by aminoacyl-tRNA synthetases). tRNAs cope with the degeneracy of the genetic code in two manners: having more than one tRNA (with a specific anti-codon) for a particular amino acid; and 'wobble' base-pairing, i.e. permitting non-standard base-pairing at the 3rd anti-codon position. Lineage: Bacteria; Pseudomonadati; Pseudomonadota; Gammaproteobacteria; Alteromonadales; Idiomarinaceae. The record is from RNAcentral.
GCGUCCGUAGCUCAGCUGGUUAGAGCGCUGCCUUGACAUGGCAGAGGUCGGUGAUUCGAGUUCACUCGGACGCACCA